RNAcentral lists this ribosomal RNA (253 nucleotides) under uncultured prokaryote. RNAcentral describes it as "partial 16S ribosomal RNA". It matches the Rfam family "Bacterial small subunit ribosomal RNA", at positions 524 to 776 of the family's 1533-position model. The record is from RNAcentral.
UACGUAGGUGGCAAGCGUUGUUCGGAAUUAUUGGGCGUAAAGGGCGCGUAGGCGGUUUGUUAAGUCGGUUGUGAAAACUCGAGGCUCAACCUCGAGACGCCGAUGGAAACCAUUUGGCUAGAGUCCGGAAGAGGAGAGUGGAAUUCCUGGUGUAGCGGUGAAAUGCGCAGAUAUCAGGAAGAACACCCGUGGCUAAGGCGGCUCUCUAGUACGGUACUGACGCUGAGACGCGAAAGCGUGGGGAGCGAACAGG